UCGGGAAUAUUGGACAAUGGGCGCAAGCCUGAUCCAGCAAUACCGCGUGUGUGAAGAAGGCCUGCGGGUUGUAAAGCACUUUCAGUUGGGAAGAUAAUGACGUUACCAACAGAAGAAGCACCGGCUAACUCCGUGCCAGCAGCCGCGGUAAUACGGAGGGUGCAAGCGUUAAUCGGAAUUACUGGGCGUAAAGCGUGCGUAGGCGGUUUAUUAAGUCAGAUGUGAAAUCCCCGGGCUCAACCUGGGAACUGCAUCUGAUACUGGUAGACUAGAGUGUGGGAGAGGAGAGUGGAAUUUCCGGUGUAGCGGUGAAAUGCAUAGAGAUCGGAAGGAACAUCAGUGGCGAAGGCGACUCUCUGGACCAACACUGACGCUGAGGCACGAA
RNAcentral lists this ribosomal RNA (385 nucleotides) under uncultured bacterium. RNAcentral's name for it is "bacterial SSU rRNA". It matches the Rfam family "Bacterial small subunit ribosomal RNA", at positions 355 to 757 of the family's 1533-position model. The record is from RNAcentral.